UACGUAGGGACCAAGCGUUGUUCGGAUUUACUGGGCGUAAAGGGCGCGUAGGCGGCAAUUCAAGUCAGUUGUGAAAUCUCCGAGCUUAACUCGGAACGGUCAACUGAUACUGCUUUGCUAGAGUACAGAAGGGGCAAUCGGAAUUCUUGGUGUAGCGGUGAAAUUCGUAGAUAUCAAGCGGAACACCGGUGGCGAAGGCGGCCUUCUGGACAGUGACUGACGCUGAGACGCGAAAGCGUGGGGAGCAAACAGG
RNAcentral lists this ribosomal RNA (253 nucleotides) under uncultured bacterium. RNAcentral's name for it is "partial 16S ribosomal RNA". It matches the Rfam family "Bacterial small subunit ribosomal RNA", at positions 524 to 776 of the family's 1533-position model. The record is from RNAcentral.